RNAcentral lists this unclassified non-coding RNA (232 nucleotides) under Hevea brasiliensis (rubber tree). The record is from RNAcentral. Lineage: Eukaryota; Viridiplantae; Streptophyta; Magnoliopsida; Malpighiales; Euphorbiaceae.
UUACCAUGGCUGGAACUUCAUAGUUCUUGCCCAGUUUGCAGGUUUCAGUUGCCUGCUGAUGAGUCCAAGUCUGACUCUGAGAGGUCUCAGAUUAGCAUUAAUGAGAGGGAGAGCAACAAUACCAAUAAUAACAAUAGUAGCAGUAGAAGUACUAAUAAUAGUGAUAAUCAUCAAAAUCAUCAUCAUGGAAGUAGCAUUGAAGUGGCAGAAGGGGAGGGAAGAAAUGGAAAUG